Molecule: non-coding RNA, 65 nt
Organism: Varroa destructor (honeybee mite)
Lineage: Eukaryota; Metazoa; Arthropoda; Arachnida; Mesostigmata; Varroidae
Source: the annotation of a RefSeq genome assembly
AAGAUUUUAAGUUAAUUUAAACUAUUUAUUUUCAAAAUAAAAAAUAUAUAUAAUUUUAAAUCUUU